This is a non-coding RNA of Salvia hispanica, 616 nucleotides long. The record is from RefSeq and is a predicted model, not a curated record. NCBI's taxonomy places the organism in Eukaryota, Viridiplantae, Streptophyta, Magnoliopsida, Lamiales, Lamiaceae.
GCAGAUAUGAGGCAACAAAAUGAAAGGAAACGGCACCGAUGAAAGCGGUGGAAUGUUAUAUGGGUUUGUAAACUAACAGACGGACGUAAACUGCGAAAGGUGACAAAAUGAGUGAACAAAAUUUCCAAAAUAAGAGGAAGAAAAUACAAAAGGUAAAGAGAGACGAAAAGAUUAACAUAGAGAUUGCAAUAGUGCAGAUGAGUGAUUCAUCCAUGAGAGACUCUUCAAGUCUACACUUGAAGAUAUAAGAAGUGCAGAAAACGAUGCACAUUAAAAGGCACUGCAACAUCAAAGACACGGAUGCAACGCACUCUAUCACAGAAGAAGUAAUCGAAGGAUACAAAUUAUCUAUCAAGAUUGCAGAGAAGUAGAAGGAAUGAGAUGAAGAAAAUUGAUCAAAGGGAUACAGAGGGAUGGAAUAAGAUAUGGAAAAGCAAAUUGCAAGAAGGUUACCAAUGAGUUUGAUGAUUUCGAUUCAGAGAGAAGUAAGUGAUAGUGAGAGUGUUAAGAUAGGGGGGUAUUUAUAGGACUCCCAUCUUUAGCAUGCUGGUUAGAAAGGUGCAUCUUCCCCAUAAAAACAUAACAUUAGAGACCUUUUAGAUAAUUACAUUGGAAA